RNAcentral lists this long non-coding RNA (235 nucleotides) under Phoenix dactylifera (date palm). Its description in RNAcentral is "long non-coding RNA (PDAC_LNC003737)". The record is from RNAcentral. Lineage: Eukaryota; Viridiplantae; Streptophyta; Magnoliopsida; Arecales; Arecaceae.
UUGCUCUUCUCCGUCUAUGGCACCAUUGUGGACCCAAGGAAGGGUAUUAUAGCCGGCCUGGGCCCUCUUCUUGUUGGGCUUGUAGUUGGGGCUAACAUCCUAGCUGGCGGGCCUUUCUCGGGUGCAUCCAUGAACCCAGCUAGGUCCUUUGGGCCAGCCUUGGCCAGCUGGGAUUGGACCGACCACUGGAUCUAUUGGGUUGGGCCACUAAUCGGCGGUCCGCUUGCUGGGUUCA